UUGGGGUUGGUAUUCAAUCUAGAUCCGAUGCUUGUUCUUAGGUUGGAUUUUUUCUUGAAUUUACGUUAGGGUUUCUGGAAUUUUAUAGAAUCUGAUCUAUUAUUUGGAAUCCUCUUUGUUCGGUUGGUUUAAAUUAGGGGUUUUAGUUUUUGUUAGUAGUCAUUUCUUUUUUUCUUCUUGAUUUUGCUCUGAUUUAUGGGUUCAAUGGCACUAACCUAUGGAUUUUUUAUCUGACUCUCAGACGAUCAUUAUUCUUUUACAAUUUAUUUAAUAAAUA
This 277-nucleotide long non-coding RNA is filed under the name Elaeis guineensis (African oil palm). Its description in RNAcentral is "long non-coding RNA (EGUI_LNC029352)". Lineage: Eukaryota; Viridiplantae; Streptophyta; Magnoliopsida; Arecales; Arecaceae. The record is from RNAcentral.